Molecule: non-coding RNA, 1228 nt
Organism: Misgurnus anguillicaudatus (oriental weatherfish)
Lineage: Eukaryota; Metazoa; Chordata; Actinopteri; Cypriniformes; Cobitidae
Source: RefSeq, a predicted model, not a curated record
CGCUGUGAGUAUACCCGUUGGUGUGGAGUAACUUGCAUAAAUUAACCUGUGUGAUCGUUGGAGUCCUCCAGGACUAGGAGGGCGGCCCUACCCCUAUAACAGCGUGGUGGGCGAGCCGCUAGAAGUGUACGUCCAAACAGCCACAGCAACGAGACUUUAUUUUGGUCGUGUUUCCAUCGCCCCUCUUUCAGCCCAAGCGCAGUGGAGGACGCCGGGCGCUUUCCCUUGUGGUGUUGCACUGAUAGUGUGGUGAGUGAGAUUUUACAAUUAAUAAGCUUUUCACGUUGGAGUGGUGCUGUGUAUUUGCUGUGUGUCUUGUCAGACGAAGCCCCGUACCAUCCAUUCCCUCUACUGGGCAGAGGACGGAGAGGCUAACGACCUCAGAAAUUACUGCUACCAUACGCUGUGUGCUGUUUCGGAGUACGAAGGGAUACAGACCAAGAGCUGUCAAGGGCUGUGAGUAAAAUAUUGGAAAUAUUCGUGGUGUAAACUUACCUGUGUCUGUCUUUGUCGCAGAGUCAGAGGCGAAAGGGUCCGCCGCCCCCGUGGUCUCUACAAAAGGGCGCCCCUGUCCAGGAUUCGAUCGGCCUACGGGCAGUGGAGGUAGGGCAGCGCUCGACCCGGCGAGGUGGUGUGUGACCUUCGCCCCUCUGCUGACCUACAGAGGAAACCGUACCUACCCAGAAAGCUGUAAGCAGCAGAGCCGUGGCCGCCUGUGGAGAGAAAGGAAGACGAGAGUGAACAAUUGGAGAACAGACCGUGUAACGUGCUACCUACCCCGAGAGCAGUAAACAGCAGAACCGGUGAGGAAUAUACCAAAUCCAAGCUAACAGUGUUUCUGUGUCGCAGUGAUCACCUGUGGGGAAUAAGGAGAACGAGGGUGGACGUACGACGGGGAACGUGAAGGCACGCGGGGCGAGACCCCCUGCCGAACUGAGGAAAGGUACACGGACAGUGGGAAAUCCCCUACCAGUCACACCGAAAUUGUCUGCCUCCAGGAAAGAAGAAGGAGGGCGCCACGGUUAGCAGGGUCCAGGCCGGAGCCUGACGUUUCCCUCUUCCCCCCGGCUUAUGGUGGUUGGCACCCCUGUUGCCUUUGCCCCAGUCUGCCCGUGGCUGUAGUCUCCCUGGAGGGAGGAGAAGAAGCCUAUUAGUUUUAAAUUCCCCUUUCCCCAAUUCCCCAGUUCUUUUAAGUAUUUAAAUUAAAUAAAGCUUGUUUUAAAUUUUA